Sitophilus oryzae (rice weevil) is the source of this 476-nucleotide long non-coding RNA. RefSeq lists it as uncharacterized. The transcript is spliced from 3 exons. The record is from RefSeq and is a predicted model, not a curated record. NCBI's taxonomy places the organism in Eukaryota, Metazoa, Arthropoda, Insecta, Coleoptera, Curculionidae.
GUAUGUCUGUUCCUAAAUAAUAUUUUUUACAUAAUUAUAUGACAUUUUUGAUAAAGAUCUUAAUAAUUUUUAAAGCUACAUCCGAAUGCGAGCGUAAUAUAAAUCACUAUGAUUUAAAUAAUUAUUCUAGCACUGUCAAAUAUAUUAUAAAAGAUAUUUUUUUUAUAAAACAAUGCGUUCUGUUCGCAUUUAGGCAUUGUGUUAAUAUAGCAUUAUGAAGUUCUACAUAUUUACUAUUUUUGCUGCAUGUGUGUUCAUUCUGGUGUCGAAUAUCGAGAGUUUAAGAUCAUUCAAGUUCGUUAAAUCGAAGAAUUUAAUGGGAAAUCACUUUGGAAAAAUAGACACUGAAGCGAAUUGUUUUGGAAGACGUCUACCACCAAGACCACCACCACAACCUACUUCAACAACUACUGAAGCAGCAGAUGAAUAAGAUAUAAUGCUGUAAUGUAAUGUUAGAAAUAAAGCUAUAAUAGUAC